Mauremys reevesii (Reeves's turtle) is the source of this 450-nucleotide long non-coding RNA. RefSeq lists it as uncharacterized. The record is from RefSeq and is a predicted model, not a curated record. NCBI's taxonomy places the organism in Eukaryota, Metazoa, Chordata, Testudines, Geoemydidae. The transcript is spliced from 3 exons.
AUGUCCACAGCAUUUUUCUUCUUUGCUAAUGCUCCCUCAGUACUGCCUCCCCUAUUGCUGGGCAGAAAAAAUAAAUUAUUCUGCCUCUUCCCUUAAAAUGUAUCCUAAUGUUCACCCCUGUACAAAACUGUCCAUUUCUCCUGUCCCUAGCUCCUGAAAACAUCUGUUGUCUUCUGCUGUAUUGCACUGGGAGAGCUUGCAUGGGGGACAAUGAAACACAGAUGCUCCAGUGUUUCUUCCUCCAGUUCCACAGCAGGCAGCAUUGGAAGGACUAGGAAGCACUAGGAGAUUUCAGCGGGAGGAACUUCUUAUGUCCUCGGCAGUGCCACUUCCCGCAGCCCCCAUUGGCCUGGGAGGGCAAACUGCAGUCAGUGGGAGCUGCGAUCAGCUGAACCUGUGGACGCGUGAGGACACCUUGAAUGGGACACAAUAUUCCAGCAGUGUUCUCAU